RNAcentral lists this ribosomal RNA (446 nucleotides) under uncultured bacterium. Its description in RNAcentral is "partial 16S ribosomal RNA". It matches the Rfam family "Bacterial small subunit ribosomal RNA", at positions 338 to 795 of the family's 1533-position model. The record is from RNAcentral.
CCUACGGGGAGCAGCAGUCGAGAAUCAUUCACAAUGGGGGAAACCCUGAUGGUGCGACGCCGCGUGGGGGAAUGAAGGUCUUCGGAUUGUAAACCCCUGUCAUGUGGGAGCAAAUUAAAAAGAUAGUACCACAAGAGGAAGAGACGGCUAACUCUGUGCCAGCAGCCGCGGUAAUACAGAGGUCUCAAGCGUUGUUCGGAAUCACUGGGCGUAAAGCGUGCGUAGGCUGUUUCGUAAGUCGUGUGUGAAAGGCGCGGGCUCAACCCGCGGACGGCACAUGAUACUGCGAGACUAGAGUGAUGGAGGGGGAACCGGAAUUCUCGGUGUAGCAGUGAAAUGCGUAGAUAUCGAGAGGAACACUCGUGGCGAAGGCGGGUUCCUGGACAUUAACUGACGCUGAGGCACGAAGGCCAGGGGAGCGAAAGGGAUUAGAUACCCGAGUAGUC